CGUCCGUUCGUCCGUUCGUUCGUCCGUCUGUCCCGCUUCAGGUUAAAGUUUUUGGUCAAGGUUGUUUUUGAUGAAGUUGAAGUCCAAUCAACUUGAAACUUAGUAUACAUGUGCCCUAUGAUAUGAUCUUUCUAAUUUAAUGCCAAAUUAGAGUUUUGACCCCAAUUUUACGGUUCACUGAUAGAAAAUGAUAGUGCAAAUUUCAGGUUAAAGUUUUUGGCUUCAGGUUAAAGUUUUUUGGUCAAGGUAGUUUUUGAUGAAGUUGAAGUCCAAUCAACUUGAAACUUAGUAUACAUGUGCCCUAUGAUAUGAUCUUUCUAAUUUAAAUGCCAAAUUAGAGUUUUGACCCCAAUUUUACGGUUCACUGAACAUAGAAAAUGAUAGUGCAAAUUUCAGGUUAAAGUUUUUGGCUUCAGGUUAAAGUUUUUGGUCAAGGUAGUUUUUGAUGAAGUUGAAGUCCAAUCAACUUGAAACUUAGUAUACAUGUGCCCUAUGAUAUGAUCUUUCUAAUUUAAAUGCCAAAUUAGAGUUUUGACCCCAAUUUUACGGUUCACUGAACAUAGAAAAUGA
Molecule: long non-coding RNA, 570 nt
Filed under: Mytilus galloprovincialis (Mediterranean mussel)
Lineage: Eukaryota; Metazoa; Mollusca; Bivalvia; Mytilida; Mytilidae
Source: RNAcentral